Asterias rubens (European starfish) is the source of this 512-nucleotide long non-coding RNA. RefSeq lists it as uncharacterized. The record is from RefSeq and is a predicted model, not a curated record. The transcript has 4 exons. NCBI's taxonomy places the organism in Eukaryota, Metazoa, Echinodermata, Asteroidea, Forcipulatida, Asteriidae.
GUUUGCUGCUGCCUGUACAGAUGAUGAUGUCUAACAACUUGGAUCGUGUCUAGAACUGCAGGCUGUCCCUGGACCGUAAAGGUUGUUAUAUCUAGGAACUCAAUGCUUCACUUCAAACACUAGAUCAUCCAUGUGACUGCAACUAUUAUCUACAUUGGAGUUGGUUGCUGCCUGUACAGAUGAUGGAAGUCUCUUUGAACAUGUCUAGAAACUCACUGCUACACUUCAACCACUGUAGGUCACUCAUGUGACGCUAACUGUUAUCUUCAGUGGAGUUGGCUGCUGCCUGCACAGAUCAUUGGAGUCUAACAACUUUGAACAUGUCUAGAAACUCACUGCAGGUUAUCCAUGUGACUGUGCAGGUUAUGCUAUCCAGAAACUCUUGGCUACACUACAACCACAGUAGGUCAUCCAGGUGACGCUAACUGUUAUCUUUAAUGGAGUUGGCUGCUGACUGCACAGAUGAUGAAAGUCUAACAACUUGGAACAUCUAGAAACUCACUGCAGGCUAU